UGCCAUCAUCCGCGGUACGACGGCGUGUCCUCGCUUGUUCGGAAUAACUGUGCGUAAAGGGUACGUAGGCGGUUUUGUAAGUUAGAUGUGAAAUCCCAGGGCUCAACCUUGGAACUGCAUUUAAAACUGCAAAACUUGAGAUCGGAAGAGGAAAGCGGAAUUUCUAGUGUAGAGGUGAAAUUCGUAGAUAUUAGAAGGAACAUCAGAGGCGAAGGCGGCUUUCUGGUACGAUACUGACGCUGAGGUACGAAAGCGUGGGGAGCACACCGGAUUAGAUA
Molecule: ribosomal RNA, 278 nt
Filed under: uncultured bacterium
Lineage: Bacteria
Description: partial 16S ribosomal RNA
Rfam family: Bacterial small subunit ribosomal RNA
Source: RNAcentral